UGAGUGAAGAAGGCCUUCGGGUUGUAAAGCUCUUUUGUCAGGGAAGAAACGGUGAGAGCUAAUAUCUCUUGCUAAUGACGGUACCUGAAGAAUAAGCACCGGCUAACUACGUGCCAGCAGCCGCGGUAAUACGUAGGGUGCAAGCGUUAAUCGGAAUUACUGGGCGUAAAGCGUGCGCAG
RNAcentral lists this ribosomal RNA (180 nucleotides) under uncultured bacterium. Its description in RNAcentral is "partial 16S ribosomal RNA". It matches the Rfam family "Bacterial small subunit ribosomal RNA", at positions 402 to 574 of the family's 1533-position model. The record is from RNAcentral.